UGGGNUAGCCAAGUGGUAAGGCAACGGGUUUUGGUCCCGCUAUUCGGAGGUUCGAAUCCUUCCGUCCCA
This 69-nucleotide transfer RNA is filed under the name Schlechtendalia luzulifolia. Its description in RNAcentral is "tRNA-Gln". It matches the Rfam family "tRNA". Rfam says of the family: Transfer RNA (tRNA) molecules are approximately 80 nucleotides in length. Their secondary structure includes four short double-helical elements and three loops (D, anti-codon, and T loops). Lineage: Eukaryota; Viridiplantae; Streptophyta; Magnoliopsida; Asterales; Asteraceae. The record is from RNAcentral.